AUGGCAAAUUUUUCUGAAGUUAUUUUGCUUCUUAGCUGAAUGGAUUUGGCUAACUCUAAGCAAAAACCAUAUCAACCCUCACUUGAACCACUGCCUUGUGGUUCUCUCCUAAUCAUGUUGAGCAAGUCUUGAACAACUGAUGACAUUGGUGGCCGGAAUUCAGGCUCGGACUGCAAAAUGUAAUUAAGAUUAGGUGAAGGUGAUCCAUUUGGGGUGGAUGGAAAAAUCAAAAUCAAAAUUAGAAGGGUGCAGUCCAAC
RNAcentral lists this long non-coding RNA (258 nucleotides) under Cucumis sativus (cucumber). RNAcentral describes it as "long non-coding RNA (CSAT_LNC002621)". The record is from RNAcentral. Lineage: Eukaryota; Viridiplantae; Streptophyta; Magnoliopsida; Cucurbitales; Cucurbitaceae.